Camelina sativa (false flax) is the source of this 1953-nucleotide non-coding RNA. NCBI's taxonomy places the organism in Eukaryota, Viridiplantae, Streptophyta, Magnoliopsida, Brassicales, Brassicaceae. The record is from RefSeq and is a predicted model, not a curated record.
ACAUAACUCAACUCUGUCGCCCCCCUUGAGCGACCUGAAGCGUCCCUCCACACCCUUUCACUGUCUUCCCUGUCUUCCAUCUCCAGUGUAACGUCUUCCUCUAUAACGGUAAUUGAAGCAAUUCAAUGCUCUCUCUUCGAAUAAGACCCACUACUAUUUCUUAAAUUGGCGUUAGUUUAAGACGACGACGAGCUUCGGUCGUAAUCCAAAAAGAGGAAGAGACUGAAAUCGAAAGAAGAAAAAAAAAUGCCGAUAAUGGAGAAAUUGAGGAUGUUCGUAGCGCAGGAACCAGUCGUUGCUGCUUCUUGCUUAAUCGGGGGUGUUGCUGGCCGUCUUCACCAACAGAUCGUCGGAAGAAUGCUUCGUCACUUUGCCUGCCCGCAACGUCAAAAAAGAAAGCCAACUCCAUGGGCCAUCUCAUUGAUGAGAAGGUUGUAUCCAUCUCAAUUAGACUUUUCAGUUAUUCGAUGUUUUCAUUUGUAUCUGAUUUCAAGAUCUUCUCUAGAGUUGUGUCAUGGAAGGGUCGAUCAAUGUCAACCAUAUGGCAUCUACAAAUUCCUUAUAUACAGUGUUCCCGAUUUAGAAAGAGAGGUUAUAAAUUUCAUAGAGUUGUUAGGCAAAGAAGAUGAUCCAGAUUCAUACAGAUUUGUGAAAUCCCCAAAAUUAAUCACUGACCUUAUAGAUUCUAUAGCUGGAGCUGUUUAUAUAGAUGUGAAUCUUGAGCUUAAAAGACUCUAGGAGAUAAUGGGAAGUCUUUUGGAGCCAGUAUUAACACUUGAUGAUUUGCGGCAGCAACUUGAUAUAAUUAUUACGCUUUUUGGCAUGGGAUAUAAACAAGGCAAGCGAGUUGAGUUCAAGUAUCGCAAAAUUGGCAGCCGGUCCAUUACUGGUGAGGUAUACCUUGAUGAUAAAUUUAUAGCUUGUGGGAAGCCUAAUAAGUGUGGAAAUAUGGCAAAGAUGAAGAGCGGCUUUACAGACGUUGUCGGAGAUUACGCCCAUUGAAAUGGUUAUAAAUGAUUACAUUGGAUAUGAAGAUGCAAAAGAGAAGUUGAUUGGGAUUUGCAAAGACAGAAACUUGUCAAACCCGGGGUUUCAGUUUUAAGAGCUUUGAAAAUGUAUAUAUUUGUACAGUUAAGGUUGAGACUUCAACUGAAGAAGGUACCUUAUGCAUCAAAGGUUUCAAAAGAUAACGUAAGAAGAUUGCUGAAAACAAUGCAGCCUCCCACAUGAUAAGAACUCUGAAAUCUUCUCCGUUGAGUCGUGUCAUAAAGAAUCUGAAACUGCAGCAACUUUUAGAUGAGAAGAAGGAUCAGAAGAUGCAGAGAACUUUAGAAAAGAAGAAGAAUUCAGAAAAGAGGAAGCGGCAAAGUUUAGAUGAGAGCAAGAAUCCACAAACGCAUAACAGUUUAGAUGAGAAGAAGAAUCUGGAAAUGGAGAACAGUUUAGAUGAGAAGAAGAGUCCACAACUGCAGAACAGUUUAGAUGAGAAGAAGAGUCACAACUGCAGAACAGUUUAGAUGAGAACAAGAAUCAGCAAAUGCAGAAUAGUUCAGAUGAGAAAGGGAAUCUGCAAAUGCUGAAUAGUUUAGAAAAGAAGAAGAAUAUGCUUUCAAUAAAGAGGAGGCGGCAAGAUGAGAAGAAGAAUCCGGAAAUGGAGAACAGUUUAGAUGAGAACGAAAAUCAGCAAAUGGAGAAUAGUUUAGAUGAGAACGAGAACAUGCAUCAAAAGCAGAAGCAGAGGAAAAGGCGUUGAAAGAUUUAGUUAAGUUUUUUGGUAUUUCUCUUUUGCACAGUUGACAAACGCUUAUUGUAUUGGUGCAAUGAGUGAGUCUCUAGAAUCAAUCAAAUUGUCCUAAUCUGUCUAAGACACAUUGUUCACUAUAUCGUCUUUUCUUUUUGUCAGUCAUUUUUGUCAACUUUUUGUGAUAAUUACUAUAUUUAAGUCCUUCUCAA